AUGAUGUUCCAAAUGAUGCCAACCAUCUGUGAAGCCAAAGUCCCCCCAGGAAGCUGGUGGCAUGGAUCAGGCUCCUCUUUAUAGCCAGAUCUACAUUCACAUUUUGCAGUUAGUGGCCUCCAUGCUAGAAGAAAGGGAUCAUCUUCCAGGCACACUAAGAGAGACUAAAAUGUUGGCUUUAACCCAGAGAAAAUUACACGAGAUUGGUCCUGAAAACUACUCCUUACAGGCAGUACCUACUAAAGAACUCCAUGUAUGCAGGGCACAGCUCCUUCAAAGGGAAGAAGUAAUUGCUGAACUGUAAGUGGAAAGAACACUACCUGGCUACGAUUAGAAUAUUUGGGACCCUUUGUCUGUGGGCACAGGGGAUCUGUCAGGAUAAUGGUAGUAAAGAGACAAGCACAGUGUCCACCAGAUAUAUCUACUGCAGGUGAAAUUCUUAAAGCACAAAAUCAUUAUCUGAACACCAUGAAGUUCUGGAUGAAAAGCUAGUGAUUCUUAAACAACAGAACAAUAAGAAAAAAAAAUAACAAAUGGGAUGCUUGAUAGCCAUUAACAAGAAAACAUACCAAGCACAAUAUUCUAUUGUUCUCUAAGUCCUGAGGAAGACCUUGCUAAGGUGUUAGAGCUUCAAAAAUGGACAGGCAGUGCAGAGACUGAAGCCACAUGAAGGAAUGCCUGCCUGCCCUUUGAGUCAUGUCACAGAACUGGGAAGAGAUCCUGAUGCUGCUAGAAAGAAGCUGAUCAAUUCUGAAGAAAUGAGCACAAAACUCCAAAAGAGAUGUCCAGGAAACCACAACCCAAAAGAAAUUCAAGGAAGAGAGAAAUCACUACUCUCAAAACAUGCUGCCUCACCAGAGUGUGAAACUGCCUUUGUACAUGACCUCAGUGAUAAACCUGAAGAUGAAAUUGCAAACAGAUAUUUUAUGCAUCAAAAAACUGAGGAUAAAUAUUGCCAGCUAGAAAAAUACCUCAAAUCUUCAAACUGGCUGAGCAAAAACUGUAGCAGGCAUCAAGGAAUGUAGGGGCAUACUCCCUGAGGUGGAACCUGGGCUGGCACAGAGGCUGGGAGCACUUCCUAAGACUGAAGAGAGACACGGCAAUAUUGAAAAAGGUCACAAAAGGUGGAGGCACAACUGGAAGAAAAGAGCCACGAACUGCAAUGGGAAUGGGCAAGGCAAAAAAAAUGAACACCAUAAUAAACACUUACCAGACAUGGACAAGCUUCGAUCAGAAUCUAAUGAAAGGCUUCAUCUUAAAGAGAGAGCAAAAUAAAGCCUAUUUGAUAAGAUAAGGGGAGUUUAAGGCGGAGUGAGAAGGCCACUUUCUUAAGGAUUCUCUACUGUGGGAAACUAAAAAUACAAGAAGGUAGUUUGAGGGAAGGUAUAACAACACGAUAAGGAUUGGCUCAAAUUAAACAUGGUAACAGUAAGGGCCGAAACACAGUAGAUGAGGAUAACAAGUGUUUAACUUCCUCUAAUUGGGAAGGUGCCCGGCAAGCUGGUAUCUUGGCAAAUGUGACACAAGCAUUUGAGAGCAAUGCUUGUACAG
Molecule: long non-coding RNA, 1551 nt
Filed under: Homo sapiens (human)
Lineage: Eukaryota; Metazoa; Chordata; Mammalia; Primates; Hominidae
Description: non-protein coding lnc-UGT1A8-4:1
Source: RNAcentral